This 119-nucleotide ribosomal RNA is filed under the name Oryza sativa Indica Group (long-grained rice). Lineage: Eukaryota; Viridiplantae; Streptophyta; Magnoliopsida; Poales; Poaceae. The record is from RNAcentral.
GGAUGCGAUCAUACCAGCACUCAAGCACCGGAUCCCAUCAGAACUCCGAAGUUAAGUGUGCUUGGGCGAGAGUAGUACUAGGAUGGGUGACCUCCUGGGAAGUCCUCGUGUUGCAUCCU